GUUCAUGGCAGUUUCACACUCUCUCUCCUCUCAAUCUGUAGUUGGCGAUGGUUUUACAAGAUCCUUCAUAAUCGCGCACGUUUGCCUCACAAUCGCACCCACGUUUACCGCUUUCUUCGCCCCAACCACCAUAGGCUAUCCAUUAUAAAUCCUCUACCACCAUCACCAAUGACUUCGCUUUCUCCUCUGCAUUUUUUCACCCUAUAAACAGAUUCAAUCCAUUGAACGAAUCACCCCACUACGUUGUGUUUGGAGUAUUUACGACAGGUAAACCACCAAUUCAACUGCCCACUCUCCCCUAAUUUUAGGGUUUGAAGAGGUUAAAUAUAGAAUGAUGAGCGCAAGAAGGAAAUCUGAAGUGGAGUUCUCCAUGACGACGGUUCCCCAUGCUCCUCCUGAAAUUCAAUGAUUCUACCUCUUCAUCCACUCAAAUUCACCAAUUUUCCACAUGGGUUCUCUCAAACCCACUUCAAUCUGUGAGCAAAUUCACUCGAUUGAUGGUGUAUCACCAUGGCUGUUGAUAAUUCAUCUUCUUCGCCUAGCUUCCGUGAGCUUGAUGAUGUGUUUUUGCAGUCUCAAGCAAGAAUAUGGCUUGGAGAAGUGUUGCGCACAAGAUUCGAUGAGCAAAUAAGCAUAGGUGACCUACUUUCUGAUGGGGAGAUGUUCAUACCGUUUUCAAACCGCUGCCUGAUGCUCUUUGAAUCCUAAACCGUCGGCACUAGGAGGCGUGAUUGUCACCUUCAGGAAGCUUUCACCAUCACCACUAAGUGUCGCUCAAUGGCCACUACACCCGGUUAGAUAUUUUCCUUUUCCAAAUUUAAGAGAAUCCUAUCUGUUCAGUUCUCGAUACCUGAUUAUGUGCGUGUUUCCAAAGAUUGUAGACACCUCCUUUCUCAUAUCUUUGUUGCUAACCCAUCCAAGGUCAUUGGCCGUUCCCACGAGAUAUGCUUAUGCAAGGAUAUGCAUACAUCUUAACCCAUCCAGGAACGCCUGUGAUAUUUUACGACCAUUUUUAUGAUUUUGGGCUCCGUGAUGUUAUAACGAGAUUAAUCGAGGCAAGAAAACGGGAUGGGAUCCCUCCCAUACAGCCUAUUAUUUUAUCAUGCUCUAUCACACAUAUUAUAAGUACCGGCAGGUUCCUUGUGGUGAAUUGCUAAUGAAAUAGACACGACAAUGAAAGGAGAAGAUUGUUACUCUCCUGUACUUUGGUUUCACGGGUUACAAGGAGCAAUGUACACCGAGACUCUUUGCUUCACCUAAUAUUUAGUUCCAUUAAGUAUGCUCUUUUGUUUUGUUCAUUUUAAUGUUUGGUUAUUUGUUUAGUGACAAUAUAAAUACGUUUAUCAUUUUCUUUAUUAUAUUCUAUGGGUAUUUAUGUUA
Helianthus annuus (common sunflower) is the source of this 1380-nucleotide long non-coding RNA. RefSeq lists it as uncharacterized. NCBI's taxonomy places the organism in Eukaryota, Viridiplantae, Streptophyta, Magnoliopsida, Asterales, Asteraceae. The record is from RefSeq and is a predicted model, not a curated record. The transcript has 7 exons.